This 636-nucleotide ribosomal RNA is filed under the name uncultured fungus. RNAcentral's name for it is "eukaryotic LSU rRNA". It matches the Rfam family "Eukaryotic large subunit ribosomal RNA", at positions 24 to 664 of the family's 3401-position model. The record is from RNAcentral. Lineage: Eukaryota; Fungi.
CCCGCUGAACUUAAGCAUAUCAAUAAGCGGAGGAAAAGAAAAUAACAAUGAUUACCUCAGUAGCGGCGAGUGAAGAGGUAAAAGCCCAAGAUGUAAAUCUGUGCAAAAACACGGAAUUGUAAUCUAUGGAAUAGCUCCGAAGGUCAAGGCGCGUCAUAAGUUCUUUGGAACAAGGCACCAUAGAGGGUGAAAGUCCCGUCUUUGGAUACGCUGAGACGAUAGGAGAUGUUUCUAAGAGUCGGGUAGUUUGGGAAUGCUGCCCUAAGUGGGAGAUAAACUUCUCCUAAGGCUAAAUAUUUAUAGGAGACCGAUAGCAUACAAGUACUGCGAAGGAAAGAUGAAAAGAACUUUGAAAAGAGGGUUAAAAGACUUGAAAUCGUUGAAAAGGAAGCAGUAAAAGAGAAAUGAGUCACUUUGGAAUUACUGGGCGUCAUAAGUUACGCGGUGGAGAGUACUUAACAGGGCUCUUGCCGUUGAAUGAAAGACGCGCAAGUUUUCCAAGGUGACAGGCAAAAUGAGAUCUCGCUGCAAGAAUAAGGUUGGUGUGUACUCGUCAACUUGAAGCUGCAACGGGGUCUGAGGGAUUAUCUAAUGAUUUUGCCAAAAUGGCUUUUACUGACCCGUCUUGAAACACGG